Molecule: RNase P RNA, 414 nt
Filed under: Candidatus Dormiibacterota bacterium
Lineage: Bacteria; Bacillati; Candidatus Dormiibacterota
Description: RNase P RNA component class A
Rfam family: Bacterial RNase P class A
About the family: Ribonuclease P (RNase P) is a ubiquitous endoribonuclease, found in archaea, bacteria and eukarya as well as chloroplasts and mitochondria. Its best characterised activity is the generation of mature 5'-ends of tRNAs by cleaving the 5'-leader elements of precursor-tRNAs. Cellular RNase Ps are ribonucleoproteins.
Source: RNAcentral
CGAGGCGGACGGGUGGCCGCUUUGCUUCCUACGGGAAUCGGAGAGGAAAGUCCGGGCUCCAUAGAGCAGGGCGCUGGGUAAUCCCCAGUCGGGGUGACUCGAAGGAAAGUGCCACAGAAAUGACACCGCCGGCUCCUCCUCAGGGAGAGGCCGGUAAGGGUGAAAUGGUGGGGUAAGAGCCCACCGGCGGCCGGGUGACCGGCCGGCCAGGCAAACCCCGCCCGGAGCAAGACCAAAUAGGAGGGCGCUCCCCGUGAGGGGCCCCGCCGGGCACCGGAGCCCUGCGGGUGACAAGGUUGCUCGCCGAGCCCUCGGGUAGCGGUCGCUGGAGGCGCCGGGUGACCGGCGUCGUAGAUAGAUGGCCACCACCCGCCCAGCGGGUACAGAACCCGGCUUAUAGUCCGCUCUCGACCC